CCUCAGCCGUAAGGGACAGGUGCGCAAAGCACAGGAAGGAUGGGUCAAGGACAGGUCAGUGAUGCCCUUAGAUGGUCCGGGCUGCACGCGCACUACAGUGGUCGCCGAAAUUAGCUGAUAAUUUUAAAGGCGAUCGAGAGGGAAUGAGCUUUGUAAGAGGCUCAGGAACGAGGAAUUGCUAGUAAUCGCGGACUCAUUAAGACGCGAUGAAUACGUCCCUGUUCUUUGUACACACCGCCCGUCGUUAUCGAAGAUGAAGACAGGCGCGAACGAUCUACCAGAAAGUGAGCGCAGGUCUUUAGAUCUGAUACAAGUCGUACCAAGGUAGCUGUAGGUGAACCUGUAGCUGG
Molecule: ribosomal RNA, 350 nt
Filed under: Loma pacificodae
Lineage: Eukaryota; Fungi; Microsporidia; Glugeidae
Description: SSU rRNA
Rfam family: Microsporidia small subunit ribosomal RNA
Source: RNAcentral